This is a non-coding RNA of Heligmosomoides polygyrus, 75 nucleotides long. The record is from Rfam. Lineage: Eukaryota; Metazoa; Nematoda; Chromadorea; Rhabditida; Heligmosomidae.
GCGCCGGUGGUGUAAAGGCGUAGAGCAUUCCCGCCCGGUCAGAGGGAGGUGCGGGUUCGAGUCCCGCUUGGCGCU